Molecule: transfer RNA, 23 nt
Filed under: Scatophagus argus
Lineage: Eukaryota; Metazoa; Chordata; Actinopteri; Scatophagidae
Description: partial tRNA-Phe
Source: RNAcentral
AGCCCUAAAAAGCUCCGUAAGCA